GUCAAACGAGGACAUCCGAUAAAAUUGGGACGAUAUAGAGAAGAUUAGCAUGAGCCUGCACAAAGAUGACACACAAAUCGAGAAUAAUAUCAGAGUCAG
Small nuclear RNA from Cucurbita pepo subsp. pepo (vegetable marrow), 99 nucleotides. The record is from RefSeq and is a predicted model, not a curated record. NCBI's taxonomy places the organism in Eukaryota, Viridiplantae, Streptophyta, Magnoliopsida, Cucurbitales, Cucurbitaceae.